RNAcentral lists this ribosomal RNA (429 nucleotides) under Chloroflexota bacterium. RNAcentral describes it as "Chloroflexi bacterium partial 16S ribosomal RNA". It matches the Rfam family "Bacterial small subunit ribosomal RNA", at positions 355 to 776 of the family's 1533-position model. The record is from RNAcentral. Lineage: Bacteria; Bacillati; Chloroflexota.
UGGGGAAUAUUGCACAAUGGGCGCAAGCCUGAUGCAGCCAUGCCGCGUGUGUGAAGAAGGCCUUCGGGUUGUAAAGCACUUUCAGCGGGGAGGAAGGCGGUGAGGUUAAUAACCUCACCGAUUGACGUUACCCGCAGAAGAAGCACCGGCUAACUCCGUGCCAGCAGCCGCGGUAAUACGGAGGGUGCAAGCGUUAAUCGGAAUUACUGGGCGUAAAGUGCACGCAGGCGGUCUGUCAAGUCGGAUGUGAAAUCCCCGGGCUCAACCUGGGAACUGCAUUCGAAACUGGCAGGCUAGAGUCUCGUAGAGGGGGGUAGAAUUCCAGGUGUAGCGGUGAAAUGCGUAGAGAUCUGGAGGAAUACCGGUGGCGAAGGCGGCCCCCUGGACGAAGACUGACGCUCAGGUGCGAAAGCGUGGGGAGCAAACAGG